GUGCCAGCAGCCGCGGUAAUACGGAGGAUGCAAGCGUUAUCCGGAUUCAUUGGGUUUAAAGGGUGCGUAGGCGGAAUAAUAAGUCAGUGGUGAAAGCCUGCGGCUUAACCGUAGAAAUGCCAUUGAUACUGUUAUUCUUGAGUAUAGUUGAGGUGGGCGGAAUGUGUAAUGUAGCGGUGAAAUGCUUAGAUAUUACACAGAACACCAAUUGCGAAGGCAGCUCACUAAGCUGUUACUGACGCUGAGGCACGAAAGCGUGGGGAGCAAACAGGAUUAGAAACCCCCGUAGUCC
RNAcentral lists this ribosomal RNA (292 nucleotides) under uncultured bacterium. RNAcentral's name for it is "partial 16S ribosomal RNA". It matches the Rfam family "Bacterial small subunit ribosomal RNA", at positions 505 to 796 of the family's 1533-position model. The record is from RNAcentral.